GGGCGGCGGGCGAGGGCGGGGCGGUGGGCGGGGACGGGGCCCGGACGGCGGCUACGGCCCAGGUGAGCGGCUCGGACUCGGCGGCCGCACCUGCCCAACCCAACCCGCACGGUCCGGAAGUCGCCGAGGGGCCGGGAGCGGGAGGGGACGUCGUCCUAGAGGGCCGGAGCGGGCGGGCGGCCGAGGACCCGGCUCCCGCGCAGGACGGAGCCGUGGCUCAGAUCGGCCCCUCCCCAACACCACCCCGGGCCUCCGCCCCUUCCUGGGCCUCUCGGUGGAGCAGGGACCCGAACCGGUGCCCAUCCAGUCCGGUGCCAUCUGAAGCCCCCUUCCCAGGUUUCUGAACAGCCUGGGCACCAUCUUCUCAUUCAUCUCCAAGGACGUGGUCUCCAAGCUGCGGAUCAUGGAGCGCCUCAGGGGCGGCCCGCAGAGCGAGCACUACCGCAGCCUGCAGGCCAUGGUGGCCCACGAGCUGAGCAACCGGCUGGUGGACCUGGAGCGCCGCUCCCACCACCCCGAGUCUGGCUGCCGGACGGUGCUGCGCCUGCACCGCGCCCUGCACUGGCUGCAGCUGUUCCUGGAGGGCCUGCGCACCAGCCCCGAGGACGCACGCACCUCCGCACUCUGCGCCGACUCCUACAACGCCUCGCUGGCCGCCUACCACCCCUGGGUCGUGCGCCGCGCCGUCACCGUGGCCUUCUGCACGCUGCCCACACGCGAGGUCUUCCUGGAGGCCAUGAACGUGGGGCCCCCGGAGCAGGCCGUGCAGAUGCUAGGCGAGGCUCUCCCCUUCAUCCAGCGUGUCUACAACGUCUCCCAGAAGCUCUACGCCGAGCACUCCCUGCUGGACCUGCCCUAGGGGCGGGAAGCCAGGGCCGCACCAGCUUUCCUGCUGCAGAUCUGGGCUGCGGUGGCCAGGGCCGUGAGUCCCAUGGCAGAGCCUUCUGGGCGCUGCGGGAACAGGAGAUCCUCUGUCGCCCCUGUGAGCUGAGCUGGUUAGGAACCACAGACUGUGACAGAGAAGGUGGCGACCAGCCCAGAAGAGGCCCACCCUCUCGGUCCGGAACGAGACGCCUCGGCCACGGCUCCC
RNAcentral lists this small RNA (1090 nucleotides) under Pan troglodytes (chimpanzee). Its description in RNAcentral is "processed transcript". The record is from RNAcentral. Lineage: Eukaryota; Metazoa; Chordata; Mammalia; Primates; Hominidae.